AACGCACCUUGCGCUCCCUGGUAUUCCGGGGAGCACACCUGUUCGAGUGUCGUGAAAUUCUCAAGCUGGGAUGGCUUUAUUGUCUGUCUCAGUUUGGAUUUGGACUCUGCUGUGUUAUUACGGCUGGUCUUAAAGGCAUUAGCUGAAUCUUGGUUAUGAGAUUGGUUCUACUCAGCGUGAUAAUUAUCUGACCGCUGAGGACAUCUUUCGGGAUGGCCAGACUUGUCCUCGAGUCGCUUCUAAUUUGGUUAAGCAGUUUACUGUUUCCACUUUUCAACUUUGACCUCGAAUCAGGUGGGACUACCCGCUGAACUUAA
This 317-nucleotide unclassified non-coding RNA is filed under the name uncultured fungus. Its description in RNAcentral is "sequence contains ITS2". Lineage: Eukaryota; Fungi. The record is from RNAcentral.